Long non-coding RNA from Thunnus maccoyii (southern bluefin tuna), 907 nucleotides. RefSeq lists it as uncharacterized. Lineage: Eukaryota; Metazoa; Chordata; Actinopteri; Scombriformes; Scombridae. The record is from RefSeq and is a predicted model, not a curated record. The transcript is spliced from 3 exons.
UAUGCUCUAAAGCUUGCCAAAGUGUCUCUUGACCUCUAUCACCAGGAGCCAUACUGUAAUAUACUUUUAGUAUACAUUAUACAGUGACUUUUGUUUACUACAGCCUAAAAAGUUGACUUUUCAUCCAACCACUGGUGAUGCAUUUAGGAAAGUGCCCUCAAGUUCAAACUCACCUUAUGUAAUUAGAUGAUUCAGUGCAACAACAUAUUUUAUUUAAUGUUACUUCUGUCCAAAAUACUAGCUUAUUUUAUAACCUGGUUGAGGUUCUGUCGUACUCACACAUCUGGAUUGAAAUGUACAAGCUUAUUGGAGUGCUCGCAGUAACACGUAGAUUCUUUUAUAGGGUGGAUUUUCCCUCAUGGAGUGCUCAUGGAGGCCCUCUCCUCCAGAGGAAAUCGGCCUGCUCGUGAAGGUUUCACCGCCUUAAAUGUGGCCGCAAAUUGCUGCACCUCAAUUAUCCGAAUCCCAACCGAUAAUUAGUGUGCCACUCACUUCUUGGCUUGCAUGGAGGAAGAGAUUCACACCUCAGGUUCUCUCAUCCGUCACGUUCCUCCCCUCGCAACAAGCAAGCCUGAACCCUCCCCUGCUGCCUCCGGUCCCCCUCCAAGAAAAAAACAGCCUUUCAGCUCCAGAGGAGAAGGGGGAGGAGGUGAGGGGAUGACAGAGGAAGAGACCAACGCAGAGAGAUGGAUUUAAGUUACACACAAACCAAUACAGCCCACUACCACCCGCUUCCGGCCCUGGGACAAACACAGGCCUUGCUGCGACAGAAUGGGCGCCUUCACUGUGGAAUGAAGAGCCUGGCUAAAAAUAGGACAUCUGUAUUAACAAUCAAGCUGUGGCCCUGAGUGUUCCGGGGGCCUAAUUGGGCCGACUGCUGGCGUUGAUUGUGAUGGAUGGAGGGGGG